GACGAACGCUGGCGGCGUGCUUAACACAUGCAAGUCGAACGGAAAGGCCCUGCUUUUGUGGGGUGCUCGAGUGGCGAACGGGUGAGUAACACGUGAGUAACCUGCCCUUGUCUUUGGGAUAACUUCAGGAAACUGGGGCUAAUACCGGAUAGGAGCUCCUGCUGCAUGGUGGGGGUUGGAAAGUUUCGGCGGUUGGGGAUGGACUCGCGGCUUACCAGCUUGUUGGUGGGGUAGUGGCUUACCAAGGCUUUGACGGGUAGCCGGCCUGAGAGGGCGACCGGCCACAUUGGGACUAAGAUACGGCCCAGACUCCUACGGGAGGCAGCGGUGGGGAAUAUUGCACAGUGAGCGGAAGCCUGAUGCGGCAGCGCCGCGUGCGGGAUGACGGCCUUCGGGUUAUGAACCGCUUUCGCCUGUGACGAAGCGUGAGUGACGGUAAUGGGUAAAGAAGCACCGGCUAACUACGUG
This 468-nucleotide ribosomal RNA is filed under the name uncultured bacterium. RNAcentral's name for it is "partial 16S ribosomal RNA". It matches the Rfam family "Bacterial small subunit ribosomal RNA", at positions 28 to 507 of the family's 1533-position model. The record is from RNAcentral.